Molecule: ribosomal RNA, 497 nt
Filed under: uncultured bacterium
Lineage: Bacteria
Description: partial 16S ribosomal RNA
Rfam family: Bacterial small subunit ribosomal RNA
Source: RNAcentral
GAUGAACGCUGGCGGCGUGCCUAAUUCAUGCAAGUCGAGCGAACAGACGAGGAGCUUGCUCCUCUGACGUUAGCGGCGGACGGGUGAGUAACACGUGGAUAACCUACCUAUAAGACUGGGAUAACUUCGGGAAACCGGAGCUAAUACCGGAUAAUAUAUUGAACCGCAUGGUUCAAUAGUGAAAGACGGUUUUGCUGUCACUUAUAGAUGGAUCCGCGCCGCAUUAGCUAGUUGGUAAGGUAACGGCUUACCAAGGCAACGAUGCGUAGCCGACCUGAGAGGGUGAUCGGCCACACUGGAACUGAGACACGGUCCAGACUCCUACGGGAGGCAGCAGUAGGGAAUCUUCCGCAAAGGGCGAAAGCCUGACGGAGCAACGCCGCGUGAGUGAUGAAGGUCUUCGGAUCGUAAAACUCUGUUAUUAGGGAAGAACAAAUGUGUAAGUAACUAUGCACGUCUUGACGGUACCUAAUCAGAAAGCCACGGCUAACUACGUG